UAGGGAAUCUUCGGCAAUGGACGAAAGUCUGACCGAGCAACGCCGCGUGAGUGAAGAAGGUUUUCGGAUCGUAAACUCUGUUGGUAGAGAAGAACGUUGGUGAGAGUGGAAAGCUCAUCAAGUGACGGUAACUACCCAGAAAGGGACGGCUAACUACGUGCCAG
This 164-nucleotide ribosomal RNA is filed under the name uncultured bacterium. RNAcentral's name for it is "partial 16S ribosomal RNA". It matches the Rfam family "Bacterial small subunit ribosomal RNA", at positions 355 to 511 of the family's 1533-position model. The record is from RNAcentral.